UAAACAACGUAAACAAUUAUAGAUGACGGGAAAAUAUGGUGUUUUGGUGGCUUUCGAUGACUUAGCCAAGCACGCCCACCCAACCAAGGAUGCCCCGGAGGAUUCUGCGGAGGCAUCACCCAAGUCCAGCUGGUCCAAGUCACUCCUCGCGACUAGGACAGCUCCAUCUCCCCCACAACGACAACUCACUCGCACAUUUCAGUUUCUAGACAUGUACAUUUAAUAUCCACACCUUUACGACCAAACUUGGCCACCGUCUUCGAAUUUACGCGGUCAAAGCAGAAGAUUACCUUCCCUGGGCAAAGGCUACAGGCGCCGCGGAAAUAAUGUUCCACCAGUCACGUAUUGGUGGAACUCGCAGUGAACGAGGCGCACAAAAAGGGCACACACUAUGUAUGUGUCGGGUCACCUAAUCCUGAGGAGCUCCUAGGGAAAAGAAGGGACAGGCCAAACGGUAAGUAGUAUGCGCUGUAAACAAUCCCGCCGAAAACUAAUAAUCGCGACCCUUAUUUACAGGCAACAACGAGGACAAAUUGAGGUUUUCGGGUCUAAGUCCGGAUAAAUUUACAGGUCAACAGCCACUUCUAGGCUAGGCACCGGCAGUAAGCCAGUGGCGAGUCGCCGGAGGACAACUCGGGACCCUUAUAAAGGGACGUGGCGGUCCGGUAACCGGUAUUACGCCGUGCCUAGGCCACUGCAGACCGUGAUGUCCGAGACGCCGCGUGGUAGGGGAGUCGCGUCGUGGUCGCGACGUUGUGCUGCUAGGGUUAUAUGGGCCGGAACGGACUCACCGAGGUAAAGUUGAAUUUUUUUGUGGUUAAAUAACCUAACUGCCUGCGGCGAUGUUGGUUGGCGGUGAUGGCUGUUGCUGUUGCUACUGCUGCUGCUGCCGCCGCCUGUUGCUGAUGCUGCUACUGGUGGCGGAGUACUCCCACGAGGGCUGCUGCCCUUCCUCCGAGAGGAAAUUCAAAAAAACGACGAAAAUCAAAGAAAACUGCCGGGGCCCUAUGUACUAGGGUCCCCGGUGGACCUAAAAUGAAUAAAUAUCUACUUAAU
Molecule: long non-coding RNA, 1056 nt
Organism: Drosophila rhopaloa
Lineage: Eukaryota; Metazoa; Arthropoda; Insecta; Diptera; Drosophilidae
Exons: 3
Source: RefSeq, a predicted model, not a curated record